GUGGGGAAUAUUGCACAAUGGGCGAAAGCCUGAUGCAGCGACGCCGCGUGAGGGAUGACGGCCUUCGGGUUGUAAACCUCUUUCAGCAGGGACGAAGCGCAAGUGACGGUACCUGCAGAAGAAGCACCGGCUAACUACGUGCCAGCAGCCGCGGUAAUACGUAGGGUGCAAGCGUUGUCCGGAAUUACUGGGCGUAAAGAGUUCGUAGGCGGUUUGUCGCGUCGUUUGUGAAAACCAGCAGCUCAACUGCUGGCUUGCAGGCGAUACGGGCAGACUUGAGUACUGCAGGGGAGACUGGAAUUCCUGGUGUAGCGGUGAAAUGCGCAGAUAUCAGGAGGAACACCGGUGGCGAAGGCGGGUCUCUGGGCAGUAACUGACGCUGAGGAACGAAAGCGUGGGUAGCGAACAGGAUUAGAUACCCCGGUAGUCC
This 430-nucleotide ribosomal RNA is filed under the name uncultured bacterium. RNAcentral describes it as "bacterial SSU rRNA". It matches the Rfam family "Bacterial small subunit ribosomal RNA", at positions 354 to 796 of the family's 1533-position model. The record is from RNAcentral.